This 1311-nucleotide long non-coding RNA is filed under the name Anser brachyrhynchus (Pink-footed goose). RNAcentral describes it as "lncRNA (ENSABRG00000000051.1)". Lineage: Eukaryota; Metazoa; Chordata; Aves; Anseriformes; Anatidae. The record is from RNAcentral.
CUGUCAGUCAGCCCCAUCACUUGGACAGCCAUUCAAGAUCUUGUUGUCUUAUUCAAGACUCCCCAGCAAUCUUUUGUUUGCUUUUGGUUUUGCUCUUUCAUAUAACCUCUCCCAUACACCUGCUCCCCUUGAUUCAGUUUUCUGGACUUUAUUAGGAUUUCUUCCUUGCUUAUAGCCUCACCAUCCUUCUCAGCUGGGACUUCUCCUCCAGCACCUUUCUGCAGAUCCUCCUGCUGAAGUCUGUUCCUCCCCAGCAGCUGCUGCUGCUUGCAUAUCAUUCACUCUCAAAUCUGUACUUGGGCAUCAUUGGCCAGCUGUCAACAGUCAGGUAGCUCUGUCCUCUGGUCCCAGUACCACCAGUGGCGCUGCUUCUGGUUCUCCCCUUCCCCAGGGCCGAAUGACCUUCCUUUCAGUACACGAGACAGUGGAAGGGCCACAGGAAGCCCUGAGGUCUUCAGUGUACUCUGCUGCCAUUUGGGUUUGAGAAACCCCUUGCUGUUCUUGCUGCCUGUCACCAUGGUGAGCUAGUACACUGAGACACAGAGUGUUAGCCUGGUCUAACAUCUUCCCCAGCAAUGAAGGAAAAUGAAACCAAACACGGGGUGGAUAAGUCUUUUGCACCAAGGCCACACUUCCAACAAAGGACAAACAGAACCUUUCCAUGUUUGUCCUUCAUGUAGUAGCACAGUUCAACUCAGGGAAUGAGUUGAACACUUUGAAUUUGGCCUGCGAAUUUUUGUAUUGGUUUCUGUCAGCUCUGCACUUGGCAUUUUAAUCUUGGGCAUCAGUGGUCUGAGAUACAAUUUUCCUUGUAACUGAAAAAAAAAGAAAGAAACUGAACGGGCACCUUGCAUACGGCCAUCUUUUUAUGGGCAAGAGAAAAGAAGGCAGAAAGACAGACUAGUGACAGUUCAAGAACAUGAGACAAGCUAACUUUUCACAGACUUCCAUCCUGACCUGUUUGCUGUGUUAAAUCCCCCUCCUCUGCUCUGCUGUGAGCUGUUAAUACUCCAAACGCUGUUAGAAGGCUAUCUGGAUCCCUGUGGAAGCAGAUAAGAGGUAAACAUGUGGGGCUCCAUGCAGCGGUGGAAGCUUGAAGGAAAAGAAAAAAUGAGAGAAGAAAAAUGAACAAAAUAUUUUAAGUCAAUGAAGUGAAAGAAUAGCAACUUUUCCCCUAUUGAGUUGUAUAUCAGUACAGACUCCUUUCCUCAGGGAAGGAAAUGUUGAAUGAGAAAGGAAUGAGGUAUAGCUUUAAUCAGCUAUUUUAUGCUAACAGCGCCUAAUCUGAGAUGAACAUUAGUAAGGGUUUGG